UGCCUCAUGGUGUAAUUGGCAACACGUCAGAUUCUGGCUCUGAAGAGUCUAGGUUCGAGCCCUAGUGAGGCAA
Molecule: transfer RNA, 73 nt
Filed under: Ignavibacteriales bacterium
Lineage: Bacteria; Pseudomonadati; Ignavibacteriota; Ignavibacteria; Ignavibacteriales
Also listed under: 1 other name
Description: tRNA-Gln
Rfam family: tRNA
About the family: Transfer RNA (tRNA) molecules are approximately 80 nucleotides in length. Their secondary structure includes four short double-helical elements and three loops (D, anti-codon, and T loops). Further hydrogen bonds mediate the characteristic L-shaped molecular structure. tRNAs have two regions of fundamental functional importance: the anti-codon, which is responsible for specific mRNA codon recognition, and the 3' end, to which the tRNAs corresponding amino acid is attached (by aminoacyl-tRNA synthetases). tRNAs cope with the degeneracy of the genetic code in two manners: having more than one tRNA (with a specific anti-codon) for a particular amino acid; and 'wobble' base-pairing, i.e. permitting non-standard base-pairing at the 3rd anti-codon position.
Source: RNAcentral